Molecule: long non-coding RNA, 1387 nt
Filed under: Salmo salar (Atlantic salmon)
Lineage: Eukaryota; Metazoa; Chordata; Actinopteri; Salmoniformes; Salmonidae
Description: lncRNA (ENSSSAG00000113808.1, ENSSSAG00000114798.1)
Source: RNAcentral
GUUGCAACAGACUGCAUAACAUUAGGUUGCAGCAGACAGCAUAACAUUAGGUUGCAGCAGAUCAUAACAUUAGGUUGCAGCAGAACAACAUAACAUUAGGUUGCAGCAGACAGCAUAACAUUAGGUUGCAUCAAAACAGCAUAACAUUAGGUUGGAGCAGACAGCAUAACAUUAGGUUGGAGCAGAUAGCAUAACAUUAGGUUGCAGCAGAUCAUAACAUUAGGUUGCAUCAGUUCAGCAUAACAUUAGGUUGCAGCAGACCGCAUAACAUUAGGUUGCAGCAGACCGCAUAACAUUAGGUUGCAUCAGACAGCAUAACAUUUAGGUUGCAUCAGUUCAGCAUAACAUUAGGUUGCAUCAGACAGCAUAACAUUAGGUUGCAUCAGAUCAUAACAUUAGGUUGCAUCAGAUCAUAACAUUAGGUUGCAUCAGACAGCAUAACAUUAGGUUGCAUCAGAUCAUAACAUUAGGUUGCAUCAGACAGCAUAACAUUAGGUUGCAUCAGAUCAUAACAUUAGGUUGCAUCAGUUUCAGCAUAACAUUUAGGUUGCAUCAGACAACAUAACAUUAGGUUGCAUCAGACAGCAUAACUUUAGGUUGCAUUAGAUCAGCAUAACAUUAGGUUGCAUCAGAUCAGCAUAACAUUAGGUUGCAUCAGAAAGCAUAACAUUAGGUUGCAGGAGAUAGCAUAACAUUAGGUUGCAUCAGAUCAGCAUAACAUUAGGUUGCAUCAGAAAGCAUAACAUUAGGUUGCAGCAAGACUCAUAUGUCUGAUGAUGAAAGGGAAAUCCCAGUCUAGUUUCAUAAAAAUUAUGGUUAAUGCUGUCUCUUUUUCUCUCUUUCCCCCUCUCUUUCUCUCUCUCCCCCUCUCUCUCCCUCUCUCUCUCUCUCUCUCUCUCCUUCUCUCUCUCCCCCUCUCUCUCACUUUCACUCUCUCUCCCUCUCUCUCCCCCUCUCUCGUUUUGUGAUUAUAAAACAUUGUUUAGAAGAAGGCGAAGUUAUUUAACAAGGUUAGUAGGUGACUCAGCCGUGACACUUAUUCUAAUGAGAAAAUCAUUUAAAAUAAGAGAUAUCCCUCAAUACGAGACUGACAAUAUAUCUCAUUCUAUUUAGGCUUUUUCCCUCAAAACCAGAGUGACAAUAUAUCUCAUUCUAUUUAGGCUUUUUCCCUCAAAACCAGAGUGACAAUAUAUCUCAUUCUAUUUAGGCUUUUUCCCUCAAAACCAGAGUGACAAUAUAUCUCAUUCUAUUUAGGCUUUUUCCCUCAAAACCAGAGUGACAAUAUAUCUCAUUCUAUUUAGGCUUUUUCCCUCAAUACCUGAGUGACAAUAUAUAUCAUUCUAUUUACGCUUAAUCCCUCAAAACCAGAGUGACUGUAAGGGUCCUG